This 461-nucleotide ribosomal RNA is filed under the name uncultured bacterium. Its description in RNAcentral is "partial 16S ribosomal RNA". It matches the Rfam family "Bacterial small subunit ribosomal RNA", at positions 338 to 795 of the family's 1533-position model. The record is from RNAcentral.
CCUACGGGAGGCAGCAGUGAGGAAUAUUGGUCAAUGGGCGAGAGCCUGAACCAGCCAAGUCGCGUGAAGGAUGACGGCCCUACGGGUUGUAAACUUCUUUUGUCAGGGAGCAAUUGGGUCCACGCGUGGGCUUAGCGAGAGUACCUGAAGAAAAAGCAUCGGCUAACUCCGUGCCAGCAGCCGCGGUAAUACGGAGGAUGCGAGCGUUAAUCGGAAUUACUGGGCGUAAAGCGCUCGUAGGCGGUAUGUCAAGUCAAGGGUGAAAUCCCCGCGCUCAACGUGGGAACUGCCUUUGAAACUGGCAAACUGGAGUGUGUGAGAGGAUAGUGGAAUUCCAGGUGUAGGAGUGAAAUCCGUAGAUAUCUGGAGGAACAUCAGUGGCGAAGGCGACUAUCUGGCACAUAACUGACGCUGAGGAGCGAAAGCGUGGGUAGCAAACAGGAUUAGAUACCCGAGUAGUC